Molecule: ribosomal RNA, 856 nt
Filed under: uncultured bacterium
Lineage: Bacteria
Description: bacterial SSU rRNA
Rfam family: Bacterial small subunit ribosomal RNA
Source: RNAcentral
AGAGUUUGAUCAUGGCUCAGAUUGUACGCUGGCGGCAGGCUUAACACAUGCAAGUCGAACGGUAACAGGAAGGAAGCUUGCUUUCUUUGCUGACGAGUGGCGGACGGGUGAGUAAUGCUUGGGAAUCUGGCUUAUGGAGGGGGAUAACUACGGGAAACUGUAGCUAAUACCGCGUAAUAUCUUCGGAUUAAAGGGUGGGACCGUAAGGCCACCUGCCAUAAGAUGAGCCCAAGUGGGAUUAGGUAGUUGGUGGGGUAAAGGCCUACCAAGCCGACGAUCUCUAGCUGGUCUGAGAGGAUGACCAGCCACACUGGAACUGAGACACGGUCCAGACUCCUACGGGAGGCAGCAGUGGGGAAUAUUGCACAAUGGGGGGAACCCUGAUGCAGCCAUGCCGCGUGAAUGAAGAAGGCCUUCGGGUUGUAAAGUUCUUUCGGUGAUGAGGAAGGCGGUUGUUUUAAUAGAACAAUCGAUUGACGUUAGUCACAGAAGAAGCACCGGCUAACUCCGUGCCAGCAGCCGCGGUAAUACGGAGGGUGCGAGCGUUAAUCGGAAUGACUGGGCGUAAAGGGCACGCAGGCGGUGACUUAAGUGAGAUGUGAAAGCCCCGGGCUUAACCUGGGAAUUGCAUUUCAUACUGGGUCGCUAGAGUAUUUUAGGGAGGGGUAGAAUUCCACGUGUAGCGGUGAAAUGCGUAGAGAUGUGGAGGAAUACCGAAGGCGAAGGCAGCCCCUUGGGAAUAUACUGACGCUCAUGUGCGAAAGCGUGGGGAGCAAACAGGAUUAGAUACCCUGGUAGUCCACGCUGUAAACGCUGUCGAUUUGGGGAUUGGGCUUUAAGCUUGGUGCCCGUAGCU